Molecule: Y RNA, 102 nt
Filed under: Prolemur simus (greater bamboo lemur)
Lineage: Eukaryota; Metazoa; Chordata; Mammalia; Primates; Lemuridae
Description: Y RNA (ENSPSMG00000021701.1)
Rfam family: Y RNA
About the family: Y RNAs are components of the Ro ribonucleoprotein particle (Ro RNP), in association with Ro60 and La proteins.
Source: Rfam by way of RNAcentral
GGCUGGUCCAAGUGCAGUGGUGUUUACAACUAAUUGAUCACAACCAGUUACAGAUUCCUUUGUUCCUCCUCCACUCCCACUGCUUCACUUGACUAGCCUUAA